CUGCAGUGAAGGGCCCGAGACAUCUGAUGUUUCUGCAGGUUUUCUGCUGGUUUCUUGCUCCUUGUUCUUGUAUCCGGUGCUGGGUGCUCCCCUUGCCACAGAGGUCAUGGAGAGCCUGGUGUAGGAACGGGACUGUGCCCCUUGGGCCGUGCAGGGGUUUGUGUUGGUGAACAUUGUCUGUGUGGGUAACAGAAAGGACUCUCCUGCUUACUGCCCUAGGAGCCAGAGCAUCUGUGGCAUUUCUUUAGUCUUCAGUAAAGAUCUUCAGUGAGUUACCAACCAUGGGAGUCAGGAUAUGAGCAGCCUCCAAAGUCUGUAAAGAAAGAAGUAAAGGAGCUGUUGGGCCAUCAGAGUGGAUGUCAGUGUCAGCCACGGGGAGAUGCAAUAAUGCUCUCACUGUUGGAAGAGUCACCUCCAUUCAGGUUUGUAUGUGAGGUUGAGAGGAGUCACCUUGUGUAUCUCAUUAUCUUACCCUGGCUGGAAUAUCUGCUAGGAGGCAGAAGAGCCCUCCCAGGCACAUCACCUGCUGAAUUCAACAAACACUUGUCAAAAACAAAGAUUGACCAGAAAUAUUGUCACUUAUAAAAGCAUUCUUUUAUACUAACUAUAGUAAAAAUAGCCAUAUAUAAAAGGGAAUCAAACCUUUGGACAGUGCUGUUUCAAUAGAGGCCUUCAAAAAAAACCACUUCCUAUGUGAUGAAAGAGAAAUGCUCAAAAAUCCCUACAGGAAUACCUACAAUUCCUUAUGGAUACCUAAUGAAAAUAUAUUAGAAUUGAGCAAGUAGCAAAAAAAGCUUGAUGAACUGACUGUAACAAAAUAUCCAGUGAUGAAAAGCUCUGCAGACUUUUCUUGCCAGCUCUGGCAAGUAAGUAGUUUUGCUAAAUAGAAGGAAAGCAGAAGAUACAGCUAUCAACUGCAAACGAAUGAUUAUAAACCAGAAAGAAAAUGUGAGGAAGAGCUCUGAAAAUUAUGAUUGACAGUGACAACACAGACCAGACAGCUUUUAUUUUAAGCAACAGAUUGUUGGGAACAUACACCGUAUAUCAAAGUGAAGGACUUGAAACCUGCUGUAGUCUGUACAGAUGUUCUCACUCAGAAAGCAGCUAGAGGGAACAGAAGAUAAAAGAAGGCUGUCCAACUUCAAAAAAGGUUUGAAUUUUCAUUCUGUUUUGACAAGUUUUUAUGCUAGUCUCUGAUUUUUAGUGUGGCAGAAAAUUCAGCAUCUACAAACCUGACCUAAAGUGAGAAACACCUGAAGGGGUACAAGCAAACCCUUAAGAAGGUGCUAUACAACAUCAUGAAAUAGUUUUUGUUGUUUUAAACUUAAAUGCUUUUAUACAAAAAUUGGAAAUGCUGUAACUGUUGUAGCUCUGGAGCAGGUCAUAGGUGCUUGCAGUCAGCAGUACCUGGAAUGCAAGGCUGAGAUCUAAGAGGCCAUUUAGGAAUCCCUGCUGCAGAAAAUACUUUUUUAUGAUACAAAGCAAGGCAGGAUUACUGAGCUCAGAAGGGUUAUUUGUGAAUAACUUCCAGCUAAAGUGAUUAAGGGCUUCAGCCACUAGCCCCAGAAAAAAACAACAAAGAGCAUCAAAAACAUCCUGCAUGUCACUGCUGCUGGCUUUUUGUUCAAUGAGCAAGAGGUCUGUGUUGGUUUUGGUCCUUUGCCCUUGGGGGCACUUUUAACAAAACAUAAUACUUGAAAGAAUUCCAAAAUGUGUUUGUUUUUUUUUAUUUUCUUUGAACUAGAAGGUUAAAGAUAAAUAAAGGAGUAUUUUGAUAGGUCUGAAAAAUACUU
This is a long non-coding RNA of Junco hyemalis (dark-eyed junco), 1793 nucleotides long. The record is from Ensembl. Lineage: Eukaryota; Metazoa; Chordata; Aves; Passeriformes; Passerellidae.